GACGAACGCUGGCGGCGUGCUUAACACAUGCAGGUCGAACGAAAAGAGGGAAAGAGCUUGCUCUUUCCGGAAUUGAGUGGCAAACGGGUGAGUAACACGUAAACAACCUGCCUUCAGGAUGGGGACAACAGACGGAAACGACUGCUAAUACCGAAUAAGUUCCAAGGGCCGCAUGGCCCAUGGAAGAAAAGGUGGCCUCUACCUGUAAGCUAUCGCCUGAAGAGGGGUUUGCGUCUGAUUAGCUGGUUGGAGGGGUAACGGCCCACCAAGGCGACGAUCAGUAGCCGGUCUGAGAGGAUGAACGGCCACACUGGAACUGGGACACGGUCCAGACUCCUACGGGAGGCAGCAGUGGGGAAUCUUCCGCAAUGGGCGAAAGCCUGACGGAGCAACGCCGCGUGAGUGAUGACGGCCUUCGGGUUGUAAAACUCUGUGAUCCGGGACGAAAGGGCAGAGUGCGAAGAACAAACUGCAUUGACGGUACCGGAAAAGCAAGCCACGGCUAACUACGUG
RNAcentral lists this ribosomal RNA (513 nucleotides) under uncultured bacterium. RNAcentral describes it as "partial 16S ribosomal RNA". It matches the Rfam family "Bacterial small subunit ribosomal RNA", at positions 28 to 507 of the family's 1533-position model. The record is from RNAcentral.